RNAcentral lists this ribosomal RNA (256 nucleotides) under uncultured bacterium. RNAcentral's name for it is "partial 16S ribosomal RNA". It matches the Rfam family "Bacterial small subunit ribosomal RNA", at positions 524 to 776 of the family's 1533-position model. The record is from RNAcentral.
UACGUAGGGGGCAAGCGUUGUCCGGAAUUAUUGGGCGUAAAGAGCGUGUAGGCGGCCAGAUAAGUCCGCUGUGAAAUCUCGAGGCUCAACUUCGAGCUGUCGGUGGAAACUAUCUGGCUAGAGUCCGGAAGAGGAGAAUGGAAUUCCCUGGGUGUAGCGGUGAAAUGCGCAGAUAUCAGGAAGAACACCCGUGGCGAAGGCGGUUCUCUGGGACGGUACUGACGCUGGAGACGCGAAAGCGUGGGGAGCGAACAGG